RNAcentral lists this long non-coding RNA (1185 nucleotides) under Cottoperca gobio. RNAcentral describes it as "lncRNA (ENSCGOG00000010915.1)". The record is from RNAcentral. Lineage: Eukaryota; Metazoa; Chordata; Actinopteri; Perciformes; Bovichtidae.
UGAGGCGAUCCUGGCCUUGCAGUCCGAGGUAUCCCGGCUGAAGAAGGACCUGGAGGAAGGCUUGGUCCAGCUGCCUCACCUAGCACAGAAGAUGGACUAUCUCUCCUCCAAAUACAGGCAGAAUCGUCAGGAGCGCAAGUCUAAAACCAGACCCCAGACCCACCACAGACCAGCCUGCAACAGUGUGUGGAAGCCUUCAAGUAGCACACACAAUUUGAGCGAUCUCAGUUCCAGUCAGAAGAGGAUAGAGGACUGGAUCUCUUCAGACAUGGACCCCAGCAAGAGCAAAGGGUCAGAGGGAAAUGGGAAGGCUUCUGACAGCCAUGCCAAGCAAAGACCACAAAGUAAGUUAUUUUUAUUAUGUAAUGAUAAUAACGUCAACAUGUUGGCGUCAUUGCGAUUGAUCAAAUUAUGUCCUUCUUUGUAACUUCAAAACAAAAACCAUACAUAUGUGCAGUUUUGCGUUUUAUUGGUAUACAUACUGUAGUGCUUCUCAUGUUUCCGCGGUCAGCAGCCAUCAUGGAGAGUUUUCACUCGAAGGAGAGGUGGUCUCUUCUCUCCUCUCCGUCUCUUCAGAAGCCCCUUCUCCAGGUCAGCUACGGCUCCUCCUGCAGCCUGCCUGCAAGCUACAAAGUGAGGGAGCCACCGCUGCACACCAUGUCCCAUCACAGAAAGCGCUCCACCCAGUCAGACACGGCACUCCUGCCCAGUAAUGUGUACUUCCAGCGGACACCGUCCCCAGCAUCAGUGCCGCCAAAGACUGGCAGCAGGACAGGCAGACGCAGAAGGAGCAAGGAGGAAGAAAUGAAUAGAACUCUAGAGCAGGCUAUUGAGGUGGCCCGCAGCAUGAAGAGGACCACCGACAGAAUGGCCAUGAGACUGUCAGCUGACCUGGCUGAGGCUCAUCUCCACAGGAAACUGCGCAGCCAGCAGCCAGCAGGGGGCAGGAAACACCAUCAUAACAAGCAGAGUACAGAUCAGUUCACGCUGUAAUCAUCAAUCUGCACUAUGACACCUGAUGUAGAAUAUAUCUUUGUUGGAUUAUAAAUUAUUUAAGGACCUGUUUGUGUUAAGAUAUUGUUUUUUUCUACAUGGUUGUAUGUUUGUGUAUUUAUACAUAGAAACGUUUGAAAUCACACUGCAAAAAUAAAAGAAUAACAAUACUAACCUUUUUAAAUUGUAAGA